GCCGCCGUGGAUUAGUGGGAGAUCGUCCUCGUUCAAUGGGUCAUUCACAUAUUUCCCUUAGGGAAGAGGUGGGUUCGAUUCCCACCGGUGGCA
Non-coding RNA from Mycena vulgaris, 93 nucleotides. The record is from the annotation of a GenBank genome assembly. Lineage: Eukaryota; Fungi; Basidiomycota; Agaricomycetes; Agaricales; Mycenaceae.